This 1372-nucleotide ribosomal RNA is filed under the name uncultured bacterium. RNAcentral's name for it is "bacterial SSU rRNA". It matches the Rfam family "Bacterial small subunit ribosomal RNA", at positions 28 to 1381 of the family's 1533-position model. The record is from RNAcentral.
GAUGAACGCUGGCGGCGUGCCUAAUACAUGCAAGUCGAGCGAACAGACGAGGAGCUUGCUUCUCUGACGUUAGCGGCGGACGGGUGAGUAACACGUGGAUAACCUACCUAUAAGACUGGGAUAACUUCGGGAAACCGGAGCUAAUACCGGAUAAUAUUUUGAACCGCAUGGUUCAAUAGUGAAAGACGGUUUUGCUGUCACUUAUAGAUGGAUCCGCGCUGCAUUAGCUAGUUGGUAAGGUAACGGCUUACCAAGGCAACGAUGCGUAGCCGACCUGAGAGGGUGAUCGGCCACACUGGAACUGAGACACGGUCCAGACUCCUACGGGAGGCAGCAGUAGGGAAUCUUCCGCAAUGGGCGAAAGCCUGACGGAGCAACGCCGCGUGAGUGAUGAAGGUCUUCGGAUCGUAAAACUCUGUUAUUAGGGAAGAACAAAUGUGUAAGUAACUAUGCACGUCUUGACGGUACCUAAUCAGAAAGCCACGGCUAACUACGUGCCAGCAGCCGCGGUAAUACGUAGGUGGCAAGCGUUAUCCGGAAUUAUUGGGCGUAAAGCGCGCGUAGGCGGUUUUUUAAGUCUGAUGUGAAAGCCCACGGCUCAACCGUGGAGGGUCAUUGGAAACUGGAAAACUUGAGUGCAGAAGAGGAAAGUGGAAUUCCAUGUGUAGCGGUGAAAUGCGCAGAGAUAUGGAGGAACACCAGUGGCGAAGGCGACUUUCUGGUCUGUAACUGACGCUGAUGUGCGAAAGCGUGGGGAUCAAACAGGAUUAGAUACCCUGGUAGUCCACGCCGUAAACGAUGAGUGCUAAGUGUUAGGGGGUUUCCGCCCCUUAGUGCUGCAGCUAACGCAUUAAGCACUCCGCCUGGGGAGUACGACCGCAAGGUUGAAACUCAAAGGAAUUGACGGGGACCCGCACAAGCGGUGGAGCAUGUGGUUUAAUUCGAAGCAACGCGAAGAACCUUACCAAAUCUUGACAUCCUCUGACCCCUCUAGAGAUAGAGUUUUCCCCUUCGGGGGACAGAGUGACAGGUGGUGCAUGGUUGUCGUCAGCUCGUGUCGUGAGAUGUUGGGUUAAGUCCCGCAACGAGCGCAACCCUUAAGCUUAGUUGCCAUCAUUAAGUUGGGCACUCUAAGUUGACUGCCGGUGACAAACCGGAGGAAGGUGGGGAUGACGUCAAAUCAUCAUGCCCCUUAUGAUUUGGGCUACACACGUGCUACAAUGGACAAUACAAAGGGCAGCGAAACCGCGAGGUCAAGCAAAUCCCAUAAAGUUGUUCUCAGUUCGGAUUGUAGUCUGCAACUCGACUAUAUGAAGCUGGAAUCGCUAGUAAUCGUAGAUCAGCAUGCUACGGUGAAUACGUUCCCGGGUCU